CAGCAGCCGCGGUAAUACAGAGGAUGCAAGCGUUAUCCGGAAUGAUUGGGCGUAAAGCGUCUGUAGGUGGCUUUUCAAGUCCGCCGUCAAAUCCCAGGGCUCAACCCUGGACAGGCGGUGGAAACUACCAAGCUGGAGUACGGUAGGGGCAGAGGGAAUUUCCGGUGGAGCGGUGAAAUGCGUAGAUAUUGGAAGGAACACCGAUGGCGAAGGCAGCUUUCUGGGUCGAUACUGACGCUCAUGUGCGAAAGCGUGGGGAGCAAACAGGAUUAGAUACCCCCGUAGUCCCUGUCUCUUAUAC
Molecule: ribosomal RNA, 301 nt
Filed under: uncultured bacterium
Lineage: Bacteria
Description: partial 16S ribosomal RNA
Rfam family: Bacterial small subunit ribosomal RNA
Source: RNAcentral